This 351-nucleotide ribosomal RNA is filed under the name Escherichia coli. RNAcentral's name for it is "partial 23S ribosomal RNA". It matches the Rfam family "Bacterial large subunit ribosomal RNA", at positions 2324 to 2674 of the family's 2925-position model. The record is from RNAcentral. Lineage: Bacteria; Pseudomonadati; Pseudomonadota; Gammaproteobacteria; Enterobacterales; Enterobacteriaceae.
AUCCUGGUCGGACAUCAGGAGGUUAGUGCAAUGGCAUAAGCCAGCUUGACUGCGAGCGUGACGGCGCGAGCAGGUGCGAAAGCAGGUCAUAGUGAUCCGGUGGUUCUGAAUGGAAGGGCCAUCGCUCAACGGAUAAAAGGUACUCCGGGGAUAACAGGCUGAUACCGCCCAAGAGUUCAUAUCGACGGCGGUGUUUGGCACCUCGAUGUCGGCUCAUCACAUCCUGGGGCUGAAGUAGGUCCCAAGGGUAUGGCUGUUCGCCAUUUAAAGUGGUACGCGAGCUGGGUUUAGAACGUCGUGAGACAGUUCGGUCCCUAUCUGCCGUGGGCGCUGGAGAACUGAGGGGGGCUG